AUACGGAGGAUGCAAGCGUUGUCCGGAUUUAUUGGGUUUAAAGGGUGUGUAGGCGGUGUAUUAAGUCAGUGGUGAAAGCCUGCGGCUCAACCGUAGAACUGCCAUUGAUACUGACACACUUGAGUAUGGACGAGGUAGGCGGAAUUUAUGGUGUAGCGGUGAAAUGCAUAGAUACCAUAAAGAACACCGAUAGCGAAGGCAGCUUACUAGGCCAUAACUGACGCUGAGGCACGAAAGCGUGGGGAGCGAACAGGAUUAGAAACCCCAGUAGUCC
Molecule: ribosomal RNA, 274 nt
Filed under: uncultured bacterium
Lineage: Bacteria
Description: partial 16S ribosomal RNA
Rfam family: Bacterial small subunit ribosomal RNA
Source: RNAcentral